AGCAGGCCCGGCGGUGCGUGAGCGCUCGACCUGCCUUCGCCUCGCAGGAACCCGAGUCCUGUUGGAGGGGCCAGGCGUGGGGACGGCGGCGCCUCUGCGUCUCGACUUGCGGACCCCUCCUGCCUCAGCCUGAAGAGCUGCCUGGUCUCCAGUCGAGGUUGUGGUUGGAGCUCUUUCCCUUGCACAUCUAGGAGUUCCCGGAGCCCGCCGCCUUGUUUCCGGUUCUGUGACUGGGUUCCUCAGUCCCACAUGGAGGUGUUCAGGGCAAGACAACUCAUUCACAACACCCUGAGACUUGGCAAUGGAGGAGCCAAAAUUUCCUAUCACAUAAGGAGGAUGGAAUCCAAGUUGAACAAUUAAAACAUUGUCCACAAUAGGUGAUUUAUUUAACAACAUUAAGGAAGACAAGUAUUUCUUCUCAAUGGAGCUGCCAUAGAGUGUUUCUUUUCCCCUAUGAAAAAUGUGGUAGACUUUAUCACAAAGAUACAGAUUUUUUGGUUAAAAAUACUAAAGAUUUUCUGUUAUCUGAUGUGGUAUGCAGCACAAUGCCAUUCUUUGGAGUGUCUAUGUCCUAAUUCCUAAAACCUGUGAAUAAAUUCAUCUAGGACAAAGAGAAUUAAGGUUACAAAUUAGGUGACAUUAAAAUAAGAGAUUAUCCUGGAUAAUCCGCAUGGACCCAAUGUGAUCACAGGAAUCUUUAGAGGCAGAACAGAGAGGCAGAGAAGAUAAGAGUGAUAUGAAAUGAGAAGGACUCUACAUCAUUGUUGGCUCUGAAGAUUGAGAAAAGAGUGUUGGGAGCCGCGUCUGUGAUAGCUCGCCUUGCGCGGCGGACGUGCGGCCUGUAGUAAAGAAUAAAGCCUGAGGUAGAUUACCCCUCCCAUCGAAUAUGUUAGUUUCCUGCUUACCGCGUAAGCAACCCGCUCAACAAUAUAGUCUGCCUGGCAACUGAUGAUGUUAGCCAAUCAGCUUGCCUUGCUUACUUUAACAUGAUUGGACACUGUACCCGUAUAUAUACCGGUGCCACCCCUGGGCGGAAGAAGAAGCCAGGUAGAAGCCCAGAAGUAAAAGCACAAAAGGAGCCGCGGAGAGCGGACCGGUAGAGGCUUUGGGGCAGACUGAAGCACAAAAGGAGCCGCGGGGAGCGGACCAGAGGAGGCUUCAGCUGGGAGAACCCAGGGCAGGCUGUACGGAGAAGGAAAAUAAAAAGAAAAGGUUGUCCACUACCAGACUUUGUCGUGUGUCCUUCCUGCCGGCCGGGAGCGGACAUCGACAAAAGAGGCCAAGAGUGACAGAUGUGGAUGGCCUCCAAAAGUAGAAAA
Molecule: long non-coding RNA, 1319 nt
Organism: Cavia porcellus (domestic guinea pig)
Lineage: Eukaryota; Metazoa; Chordata; Mammalia; Rodentia; Caviidae
Exons: 2
Source: RefSeq, a predicted model, not a curated record